GACGAACGCUGGCGGCGUGCUUAACACAUGCAAGUCGAACGGUGAAGGGGAGCUUGCUCCCUGGAUCAGUGGCGAACGGGUGAGUAACACGUGGGUAACCUGCCCCAGACUCUGGGAUAACACUUCGAAAGAGGUGCUAAUACCGGAUAUUUUGAUCGGAAGACAUCUUUUGAUUAAGAAAGAAUUUCGGUCUGGGAUGGACCCGCGGCCUAUCAGCUUGUUGGUGAGGUAACGGCUCACCAAGGCGACG
RNAcentral lists this ribosomal RNA (250 nucleotides) under uncultured bacterium. RNAcentral describes it as "partial 16S ribosomal RNA". It matches the Rfam family "Bacterial small subunit ribosomal RNA", at positions 28 to 278 of the family's 1533-position model. The record is from RNAcentral.